This 252-nucleotide ribosomal RNA is filed under the name uncultured bacterium. RNAcentral describes it as "partial 16S ribosomal RNA". It matches the Rfam family "Bacterial small subunit ribosomal RNA", at positions 524 to 776 of the family's 1533-position model. The record is from RNAcentral.
UACAGAGGUGGCAAGCGUUGUUCGGAAUUACUGGGCGUAAAGGGCGCGUAGGCGGUCUUGUAAGUCUUGUGUGAAAUCCCUCGGCUUAACUGAGGAACUGCACGGGAUACUGCAUGACUUGAGAUCGGGAGAGGGAAGCGGAAUUCCGGGUGUAGCGGUGAAAUGCGUAGAUAUCCGGAGGAACACCGGUGGCGAAGGCGGCUCCUGGACCGACACUGACGCUGAGGCGCGAAAGCUAGGGGAGCAAACGGG